GGGGGCGAAUUGGAUUCGACCGGACGAUAUGAGGCGUCGGUGGCGUGCCCAGGUUCCAAGGAGGCCUGGUAAAACACCUUGGAAAACUUUUAUAUGCCAAUCAACCGAUGGCAAUGGCUGCAUAAUCAUGCAACCCGUCGCCCGGAGCUUGCCCGCGGGCUCUGACGCGACGACAAACAGCGGGCUUACCGAUCGGAAGUUGUCUGGUUAACCGAUUGGAAAAUUCCGUCAGACUGGCCGAACCGUACCGUGUCGCAGGCGGGCCGGCGAAGC
Molecule: transfer-messenger RNA, 273 nt
Filed under: Phycisphaerae bacterium
Lineage: Bacteria; Pseudomonadati; Planctomycetota; Phycisphaerae
Description: partial transfer-messenger RNA
Rfam family: transfer-messenger RNA
About the family: Bacterial tmRNA, also known as 10Sa RNA or SsrA, is named for its dual tRNA and mRNA-like properties. Its role is to liberate the mRNA from a stalled ribosome. To accomplish this part of the tmRNA is used as a reading frame that ends in a translation stop signal.
Source: RNAcentral